GACGAACGCUGGCGGCGUGCUUAACACAUGCAAGUCGAACGCUGAAGCUCAGCUUUUGUUGGGUGGAUGAGUGGCGAACGGGUGAGUAACACGUGAGUAACCUGCCCCCUUCUUUGGGAUAACGCCCGGAAACGGGUGCUAAUACUGGAUAUUCACUGGUCUUCGCAUGGGGGUUGGUGGAAAGGGUUUUUCUGGUGGGGGAUGGGCUCGCGGCCUAUCAGCUUGUUGGUGGGGUGAUGGCCUACCAAGGCUUUGACGGGUAGCCGGCCUGAGAGGGUGACCGGUCACAUUGGGACUGAGGUACGGCCCAGACUCCUACGGGAGGCAGCAGUGGGGAAUAUUGCACAAUGGGCGCAAGCCUGAUGCAGCGACGCCGCGUGAGGGAUGGGGGCCUCCGGGUUGUGAACCUCUUUCGCUCAUGGUCAAGCCGCAACAAUGGUUGUGGUGAGGGUAGUGGGUAAAGAAGCGCCGGCUAACUACGUG
Molecule: ribosomal RNA, 483 nt
Filed under: uncultured bacterium
Lineage: Bacteria
Description: partial 16S ribosomal RNA
Rfam family: Bacterial small subunit ribosomal RNA
Source: RNAcentral